Molecule: long non-coding RNA, 598 nt
Filed under: Astyanax mexicanus (Mexican tetra)
Lineage: Eukaryota; Metazoa; Chordata; Actinopteri; Characiformes; Acestrorhamphidae
Description: lncRNA (ENSAMXG00005020636.1)
Source: RNAcentral
ACUUUGCAGGAGAGCAGAGUGGAUGCAGCAGCACAGCAUCGCUGUCUUCCUCCUCCACUCUCUCUUCUCAGUCCUUCGCCCGUCCCAGAGACUGACUCUGCUGUUUCUCUCAGUUCCUGCUCGGUCGACCUGUCCCUCUCUUCCCCUCUCUAUCUCUCUCUCCCCAUCUCUUUCUUUCUGUCUGCAUCUCCACUGAGUGAGGGAGAGGGAAGAGGAAGAGGCUGUGAGGGCUGCAGCACUCCGGCGGGAGUGAGCAGAGCUGCCUCAGCUGGAGCAGCAGAUUUUGCAAGAGCAGGACCUUGCUGGACGUCCAUCACCGGACCCGUAGAAGACUGCCAGCAUGUGCGACUGUUUUCAUCUGGCGUUCCCCAACUGGCAUGGGCCAGCCACGGGUGCUGGGCGAAGGCUGAGGGGACCUGAGCAAGAAACAGAAGAUGAUUCAGUAUGUGAGGAACCUGGGAUUUUAGAGGGGGAAAGACCUCGCCCUCAAGGCUCCUCCCCCGUGGAGGAAUUUCCAGCUGAAAAAACGGUAAUUAAUACAGUAGUAACAUACUGCAACCUAAGCAUUCUGUUUCAUUUUACUGAAAAUACUGUAAAC